UGCCAGUGAUAAACUGGAGGAAGGUGGGGAUGACGUCAAGUCAUCAUGGCCCUUACGACCAGGGCUACACACGUGCUACAAUGGCAUAUACAAAGAGAAGCGACCUCGCGAGAGCAAGCGGACCUCAUAAAGUAUGUCGUAGUCCGGAUUGGAGUCUGCAACUCGACUCCAUGAAGUCGGAAUCGCUAGUAAUCGUAGAUCAGAAUGCUACGGUGAAUACGUUCCCGGGCCUUGUACACACCGCCCGUCACACCAUGGGAGUGGGUUGCAAAAGAAGUAGGUAGCUUAACCUUCGGGAGGGCGCUUACCACUUUGUGAUUCAUGACUGGGGUGAAGUCGUAACAAGGUAACCGUAGGGGAACCUGCGGUUGGAUCACCUCCUU
RNAcentral lists this ribosomal RNA (383 nucleotides) under Klebsiella pneumoniae. Its description in RNAcentral is "bacterial SSU rRNA". It matches the Rfam family "Bacterial small subunit ribosomal RNA", at positions 1150 to 1532 of the family's 1533-position model. Lineage: Bacteria; Pseudomonadati; Pseudomonadota; Gammaproteobacteria; Enterobacterales; Enterobacteriaceae. The record is from RNAcentral. RNAcentral also lists the same sequence under 8 other names.